This 642-nucleotide ribosomal RNA is filed under the name uncultured bacterium. Its description in RNAcentral is "bacterial SSU rRNA". It matches the Rfam family "Bacterial small subunit ribosomal RNA", at positions 51 to 733 of the family's 1533-position model. The record is from RNAcentral.
ACACAUGCAAGUCGUACGGAAAAGCAAUUUUUAUUGGCAAACGGGUGAGUAACGCGUGGGAAUUCGACUUUGCGAAGAGGAUAACAACUGGAAACAGUUGCUAAAACUCUAUAUGCCGUUUACCGUGAAAAAAGUAAUUUGCCUAAAGAGAAGCCCGCGUCUGAUUAGCUAGUUGGUGGGGUAAAGGCCUACCAAGGCGACGAUCACUCACUGGUCUGACAAGACGAUCAUCCACACUGGAACUGACACACCGUCCUGACUCCUACGGGAGGCCCCAAUGCCGAAUUUUCUGCAAUGGGCGAAAGCCUGACCAAUGAAUACCGCGUGAGGGAUGAAGGGCUACGGGUUGUAAACCUCUUUUCUCAAGGAGGACCAUCUGACGUUACUUGAGGAAUAAGCAUCGGCUAACCCUGUGCCAGCGGCCGCGCCAAUACAGGGGAUGCCAGUGUUAUCCGGAAUUAUUGCGCGUAAAGCGUCUGCGGGGUGAUAUUUAAGUCUUUUGUUAAACCUCCGGGCUUGCCCCGGAAUCUGCAAAGGAAAACUAUUUAUCUUGAGUAUGGUCAGGCGUAAAGGUAAUUCCCAGUGUGUCGGUGAAAUGCGUAGAUAUUGGAGAUAACACAACAGCGAAGGCACUUUACUGGG